AUGCAAGUCGAACGAAGUAGCAAUACUUAGUGGCAGACGGGUGAGUAACAUGUGGGUAUCUUCCCUUUGGUGAGGAAUAACACGAGGAAACUUGUGCUAAUACCUCAUAAGUCUUUACGGAGAAAGCUUUAUGCGCCAAUGGAUGAGCCCGCACUUGAUUAGUUUGUUGGUAGGGUAAUGGCCUACCAAGACUAUGAUCAAUAGCUGAUUUGAGAGGAUGAUCAGCCACAUUGGGACUGAGACACGGCCCAAACUCCUACGGGAGGCAGCAGUAGGGAAUCUUGCACAAUGGAGGAAACUCUGAUGCAGCGAUGCCGCGUGAGUGAAGAAGGCCUUUGGGUUGUAAAGCUCUUUCGUCGGGGAAGAAAAUGACUGUACCCGAAUAAGAAGGUCCGGCUAACUUCGUGCCAGCAGCCGCGGUAAUACGAAGGGACCUAGCGUAGUUCGGAAUUACUGGGCUUAAAGAGUUCGUAGGUGGUUAAAAAAGUUGGUGGUGAAAUCCCAGAGCUUAACUCUGGAACUGCCAUCAAAACUUUUUAGCUAGAGUAUGAUAGAGGAAAGCAGAAUUUCUAGUGUAGAGGUGAAAUUCGUAGAUAUUAGAAAGAAUACCAAUUGCGAAGGCAGCUUUCUGGAUCAUUACUGACACUGAGGAACGAAAGCAUGGGUAGCGAAGAG
RNAcentral lists this ribosomal RNA (675 nucleotides) under Acidimicrobiales bacterium. RNAcentral's name for it is "bacterial SSU rRNA". It matches the Rfam family "Bacterial small subunit ribosomal RNA", at positions 55 to 775 of the family's 1533-position model. Lineage: Bacteria; Bacillati; Actinomycetota; Acidimicrobiia; Acidimicrobiales. The record is from RNAcentral.